This 410-nucleotide long non-coding RNA is filed under the name Amborella trichopoda. RNAcentral's name for it is "long non-coding RNA (ATRI_LNC003766)". The record is from RNAcentral. Lineage: Eukaryota; Viridiplantae; Streptophyta; Magnoliopsida; Amborellales; Amborellaceae.
UCUCUCUCUAAAAUUUUGAUAUAGUUACUCUCUUAAAUUUUAAGAUGCUUUCUCUCUUUAAAACUUCAAGUUUGAGAUAAUUUCUCUAUUUAAAAUUUGAUACAAUGUAAAUUUUGAUAUAUUUUCUCUCUUUAAAGCUUAAAUUUUGAUAUAGCUUCUCUCUAAAUUUUUUUUUGAGAUUGUUUCUCUCUCUAAAAAUUUCAUGUAUUUUCUCGAUCUAAAAUUUGAUACAGUUUAUCCCUCCAAAAUUUUAAAAUACUUUCUCACUCUAAAACAUAAAUUUUGCGAUAGUUUCUCUCUCCAAAAAUUUUGAGACAGUUUCUAUCUCUAAAAUGUUUUAGGUAGUUUCUCUCUCUAAAAUUUCAUAUAUAUUUUUUCUUUAAAAUUUUAAUAUAUUUUCUCUUUUUAAA